RNAcentral lists this non-coding RNA (139 nucleotides) under Gloeochaete wittrockiana. The record is from RNAcentral. Lineage: Eukaryota; Glaucocystophyceae; Gloeochaetales; Gloeochaetaceae.
CAUCUCCCGAAACCUUUCACAGGCCACCAAGCUUACCUCGGCUUCACGGCUACGGCGGAGCAAGGAAUGCGGCUUCGCGAUAUGGCGCUUGUGGCCUUCUGUGGGCUUGACUACCCCGUGGACUACCCGCCUGACCCGG